RNAcentral lists this ribosomal RNA (637 nucleotides) under Eimeria arloingi. Its description in RNAcentral is "SSU rRNA". It matches the Rfam family "Eukaryotic small subunit ribosomal RNA", at positions 441 to 1083 of the family's 1831-position model. The record is from RNAcentral. Lineage: Eukaryota; Apicomplexa; Conoidasida; Eucoccidiorida; Eimeriidae.
UUACCCAAUGAAAACAGUUUCGAGGUAGUGACGAGAAAUAACAAUACAGGGCAUUUUAUGCUCUGUAAUUGGAAUGAUGGGAAUGUAAAACCCUUCCAGAGUAACAAUUGGAGGGCAAGUCUGGUGCCAGCAGCCGCGGUAAUUCCAGCUCCAAUAGUGUAUAUUAGAGUUGUUGCAGUUAAAAAGCUCGUAGUUGGAUUUCUGCUGUGGUCAUCCGGUACCGCCCGUAUGGGUGCGCACCUGGUUUGGCUGCGGCUUUCUUCCUGUAGCCGUACGCGCUUAAUUGCGUGUGUUGCGUUACGGAACUUUUACUUUGAGAAAAAUAGAGUGUUUCAAGCAGGCUUGUCGCCCUGAAUACUUCAGCAUGGAAUAAUAGGAUAGGACCUUGGUUCUAUUUUGUUGGUUUCUAGGACCAAGGUAAUGAUUAAUAGGGACAGUUGGGGGCAUUCGUAUUUAACUGUCAGAGGUGAAAUUCUUAGAUUUGUUAAAGACGAACUACUGCGAAAGCAUUUGCCAAGGAUGUUUUCAUUAAUCAAGAACGACAGUAGGGGGUUUGAAGACGAUUAGAUACCGUCGUAAUCUCUACCAUAAACUAUGCCGACUAGAGAUAGGGAAAUGCCUACCUUGGCUUCUCCUG